GAAAAACAGAGUGCUGAAUGUAUCACUGAACCUCUCACCGGAAAACUCAACGAUCUUCUCACCGAUUCCGAUGACUACGAUUCAAGCGAGUUUUCUUUUGAAGAAGAAACUAUAGAGGAAGUCAUGCAAGAGUUUUACAAAGAGAUCAUUGCUUUGUUAGAAUAUUUUCUAAUAUUUUGUGGGCUGCAAUCAAUUGUGGCUUUUGAUUUUAAUAAAAACG
RNAcentral lists this long non-coding RNA (220 nucleotides) under Trifolium pratense (red clover). RNAcentral's name for it is "long non-coding RNA (TPRA_LNC010784)". Lineage: Eukaryota; Viridiplantae; Streptophyta; Magnoliopsida; Fabales; Fabaceae. The record is from RNAcentral.